Molecule: RNA transcript, 4254 nt
Organism: Motacilla alba alba
Lineage: Eukaryota; Metazoa; Chordata; Aves; Passeriformes; Motacillidae
Gene: CFAP61
Gene name: cilia and flagella associated protein 61
Exons: 31
Source: RefSeq, a predicted model, not a curated record
GUCCUUGGGACGCUCUGCGGCCGGGGACGGAGCGGUUGGGAAUUGCGGUGCCUAAUAACCGAGCAUCGUGUUUGCAUUUGGAGUCACUGUUGGAAGCGGCUGUUGUGUUUGGCAGAGUGGUGAGAUUGCUCUGCUGGUCUAGGAUCCAGACCGUAGGAGCGAUUGCCUGCUGCAGUUCAGGUGUGCACUGGACAGGCAGUGUCUGUGUGGAGGGCAGCCGGCGGGAUGGCCACAGUGACCUCCUCAAGGGGAAGUACAGAUGUGGUCAUUGCCAGAAGGACAGAGUCGCAUGAUGUCCCAGGCAUUAUCAGCCUCUUCAGCCCUGUCACAGAAGACCUCUUUGGAAGGAUUGAUGUCACUUACCUCUUAGAAUUAUCAAAUCUCGCUUUGACACUCUGCAAUGAGAAGAAUGAGGUUAUAGCCCAUGCUGCCUUUCUGGACUAUCCCAACUGGAAUAUCACUGAUCAGGCUGAAUGGGAACCAUUCCUGCGUGAAAACUACCGUAACAAUAAGUGCACUCCUUUGAACACGCUCUUUGUGCAUCUCUUUGUGGCAAAGGAAGAUUAUGUGGCUGGAUAUUUCCAAGAAAUUCUUAGGAAAGCUUUCAUCUUACUACCAGAACUGCAGUUUAUACUUCUCUUUAUACCACCUGAGGAGAGGUUAGGCUUUAGCCAUUCAGAGCUGGACAUGGGGCCUGUCUUUGAAAGGAUCAUGCCUGUUCCAGGCUCACCCAUGAAGAGGCGUUUCACCUUGCUGGCAUGCCCGAGGCAUUGGUGUCACCCACGGCUGUACGUGCGCCAAGCAAGGAUGGAAGAUUAUGACGAUCUCAUGCUAAUCUGGACACCUCAAAGUGAGACUCUGAAGGAAACCUAUGGUGAAUAUCUGCUUGUUGAUCUCCUAGAACGUGAAGGUGAAGAAAACCAGGCAGCUGUUUGUGAGGUUGGUGGCACUGCAGUAGGAUUCAUGAGCUUAUGUUCUGACGUGAACAUUUCCUUGUUUCAAGAGUGCUUUGACUUAGGGCCUUUCCAUGGACUCUGUAAACCACAUCCUGAGGAUAUUCUCAAAGUGCCACGGAAGCCAAGUGUUCAAGGAGAUGAAGAUGAAAGCAACCAAACAAGUCAAAAGCCAGAGUCUGUUUCUUCUCUGAACUUCGAACAUGUUCCUGGUGCAGAUGCAGCUGUGCAGAAAGAUGGAGCCAUGACCGUUUCCCCCACUGAACUGCCGGUCGGUAAUGUCAUCAACAUAGGCUCUAAAGGCUCAGCAGCACCUCUGCUGGAGACUGAGGAGGGGGAUCUGCAUCCUGUGAACAGAGGAGCUUCAAAUGUUUUCAGUAUCCGUCUGUUUUGUAUUGAUGAGGAGUUUGAAACUAGGUCACUGGACUUUUUGCAUUAUGCUUUCAACGUUUUCCCAGACAGAGACUUCUGUGUCAUCCUGGUGCCACAUCAUGUCCCAGAGUUCCCACUGAUCCAGAGCUUUGUUCGGGCUGUCCCUUCCUGCACGUCCAGGCUGGGUCGGGAGCUGUACGUGUUCCACCGAGCAGGAUUGCUCACAUCAUUUAAUGUAAGAAAAGCAGCAACCAGUGACUUAGACGGUGUCAAAAUGCUUGUUGAAACUCUUAGCUUGAAUGAAAGGAUAUGGAAUGACUCAAAGAUAUUCACUGAGACUCGCAUGGAUCCAGACGGGAUGCCAGUACAGGCUUUUGUAGCAGAAGUUUUGGAUCAAAUCGUUGGUGUUUCUGUCAUCAGGGAUGAAAUGGAUAUUGAGUAUGUUCGAUCACAUUACGAUAUUGAGGACUUCAUUCAUUUUAAUCACCACCAGCAAGAGGAACAUGGGCAUCUUUGCCACUUUGUCUUGAAUCCUGCAUUUCAUCACUAUGCAAAAUACUUUCUAAAGGAGAUUCUUCGCUUGGGUCACAAAUCUUCUCUUUACUACCCUAUUUAUCCAGAAUAUGUGGAGGGCAAGUUCCAGCAUCCCUGCGCUCAUUCCCUGACAUCUGCCCUUCAUUACAUGGCUCCCGUGCGGCCGAGACGACAGAUUGUCUAUCCUCUGCAAGGGCUUGGCGUGAGCGCUCCGUCGGAGCAAGUCUCCAAGGAUCAGCUGAAAUAUUCCUUGAACCACACAAAUCGAAAGCUGGUGCUGGAAUCAAAAGUGUGUAUCAACAGUAGAAUUGUGGUGGUUGGUGCAUCUGAUGUUGGAAUCUCUUUUCUGGAAACACUGAUUUUUUGGCCACGGGUGAAGUUCAACAACCUGACCUUGAUUUCCACUCAUGGCCUUCCAGGAAAAGACCCACAGAGCUCCAAGUAUAGAAGAUUUUUAAUUAACAGCCACUGUUUUAAUGAUGAAGAUUAUGCACAGAUGUCACUUUGUUCCUGGGUUAAUGUUGUGGUUGGUAAAAUGACGGGCAUAAACCGCAGUGCCAAAUACGUUGUUGUUUCCGAGGAGAAGAAAGUGCCCUACGACUACCUGGUUCUGUGCACAGGACAGAGCUACCAGGCCUUGGCUCCCAUGGGAGCAGAUAUCAGUGAAGUCACGAGUCAGUGGCCACAGAGAUACAUGGAGAAAGUCCCUUCCAAUCACUUCACUCUCAAUGACGCCCAGGACUGCUUGGAGGCAGCGCUCUGGCUGGAGGAAAACCUCAUCAGCUCCACAGGAAACGUCAUUGUCUAUGGGAAUACAAUUGACAUGUACACCACGGUAGAAACCCUCUUAUCCUUUGGGAUUGAUGGUUCCCGCAUCCAUCUCGUGCGGGCUCCGCUGGGCUCUGCCAGCCCCUGCCUGGCCGAGGCCACCCUGGAGCGCGCGGUGGGGGAGGCCCUGGCAGAGGCGGGCGUGGCCCUGCACCCUGAGAGCGUCCUGGCACACUGGGGCCAGGGUGACCAUGGCCUCCUCACCUGGGCUGCCUUCAGCACUGCCUCACACCUGCUCCACCUGCAGUGCUCAGCAUUUUUUAGCUUUGCCUACAGGACACUGGAUUAUGAUAUCUUUAAGGCUGUCUGUGAUGCUUACCUUGUUUUUGAUGGAAAAGUCGUGAUUGAUGCCGAAUUCCACACCAAUGAUGCCAGCAUCAGGGCUGCAGGUCCUCUGACAAAGUUCUCCAGGAGAUACUAUAGGGAUGAAUUAACACACAGCAACUUCAACUCCAAGGAGAUUGGCUUUGAGCUUGCUGCUUCCAUGCUGAGUCUCUUUGAUUCAACCCCUCAGCCCAGUUCCGAGCUACCAGAAGGCUUAGACAGACUCGUCCCCAUAUACAGCAGGUGUAAAGUUCAAGGUGGUGUUCUUCCUGGAGGUUAUAACUACUUGCACAUUUCCAAGCCUGGAAUCCCCAUGCCCCCCUUGGAUGUAGAACAUGACCCACGUGAUCAUGGGAUGGAGAUUGUAACUGGGGAGGCCAGUCAUGGGAAUUACUUCAGGAUACACUUCAACAGGUACAAUAUGGUAGACAGCAUCACCUGCUUUUCCAAGGAGCCCUUCCCUGUCUCCAACUACAUCUGCCUGUACGGACAGCACGAGCGCCUCCUCAAUGACCUGUAUUACCGCUGGAGGGCCGGGCAGCUCACAGACCUCUACAGCUACUUCAGGGAACCUUGGUCCUUGGCCAUCUAUCACGAUCGGUUUAUUGAUCUGCAGAAGGAACUGCGCCAAACCCUGAUGUCAGAACAGGUGCCCGGGCAGCCCGCUGAGCAGAAACCCGGCCUGCCAUCGCUUCAGGAACCCGUCCUGCGCUACCUGCGCUACUACCGUGCCCAGCUGCCCAUGUACGCCCCGACCGAUGCCUACAGACUGCCGUCGGCUGCAGCAGGCAGCCAGGGACUGAAGCUGGGCAGAGCUGGGCACAGUGGCAGCAGCGGGAGCCCCACACCCGCACAGGAACCCUCCUAGGAGCGCAUCCUCCUGACACGUGACAGCGUGGUGUGAACUCCUCAAGAGCACUCCAGUCUGGGAAGGCCGCUGCCUGCUCCACACCUGGCGGCUGUUCCUGCAGAGAGGGACAGAACCCAAGUCCAGCAGGGACUGUCCCUGUCCCCCGUGAGCCAGCCCUGUAUACCCAAGGCACCUGCAGCAGCCGGGCCCAGCAGCACCACCAGUGUCGUCAAGAGUUCCAGCCCUGGCACCUCCCACCCGCCGCCACACACACCACACAGGUUCCUUCACUGACAGAAAAUCAACAGAAAGCAAAACCCAACUGUGAGGCAGAAAAUCAAACCAGUUGUCCAAGCCCUCAGUGACAGAGGCCUCUUCCUGCAGCUGCACCAG